RNAcentral lists this ribosomal RNA (1276 nucleotides) under Staphylococcus aureus. RNAcentral describes it as "bacterial SSU rRNA". It matches the Rfam family "Bacterial small subunit ribosomal RNA", at positions 1 to 1257 of the family's 1533-position model. The record is from RNAcentral. Lineage: Bacteria; Bacillati; Bacillota; Bacilli; Caryophanales; Staphylococcaceae.
UUUUAUGGAGAGUUUGAUCCUGGCUCAGGAUGAACGCUGGCGGCGUGCCUAAUACAUGCAAGUCGAGCGAACGGACGAGAAGCUUGCUUCUCUGAUGUUAGCGGCGGACGGGUGAGUAACACGUGGAUAACCUACCUAUAAGACUGGGAUAACUUCGGGAAACCGGAGCUAAUACCGGAUAAUAUUUUGAACCGCAUGGUUCAAAAGUAAAAGACGGUCUUGCUGUCACUUAUAGAUGGAUCCGCGCUGCAUUAGCUAGUUGGUAAGGUAACGGCUUACCAAGGCAACGAUGCAUAGCCGACCUGAGAGGGUGAUCGGCCACACUGGAACUGAGACACGGUCCAGACUCCUACGGGAGGCAGCAGUAGGGAAUCUUCCGCAAUGGGCGAAAGCCUGACGGAGCAACGCCGCGUGAGUGAUGAAGGUCUUCGGAUCGUAAAACUCUGUUAUUAGGGAAGAACAUAUGUGUAAGUAACUGUGCACAUCUUGACGGUACCUAAUCAGAAAGCCACGGCUAACUACGUGCCAGCAGCCGCGGUAAUACGUAGGUGGCAAGCGUUAUCCGGAAUUAUUGGGCGUAAAGCGCGCGUAGGCGGUUUUUUAAGUCUGAUGUGAAAGCCCACGGCUCAACCGUGGAGGGUCAUUGGAAACUGGAAAACUUGAGUGCAGAAGAGGAAAGUGGAAUUCCAUGUGUAGCGGUGAAAUGCGCAGAGAUAUGGAGGAACACCAGUGGCGAAGGCGACUUUCUGGUCUGUAACUGACGCUGAUGUGCGAAAGCGUGGGGAUCAAACAGGAUUAGAUACCCUGGUAGUCCACGCCGUAAACGAUGAGUGCUAAGUGUUAGGGGGUUUCCGCCCCUUAGUGCUGCAGCUAACGCAUUAAGCACUCCGCCUGGGGAGUACGACCGCAAGGUUGAAACUCAAAGGAAUUGACGGGGACCCGCACAAGCGGUGGAGCAUGUGGUUUAAUUCGAAGCAACGCGAAGAACCUUACCAAAUCUUGACAUCCUUUGACAACUCUAGAGAUAGAGCCUUCCCCUUCGGGGGACAAAGUGACAGGUGGUGCAUGGUUGUCGUCAGCUCGUGUCGUGAGAUGUUGGGUUAAGUCCCGCAACGAGCGCAACCCUUAAGCUUAGUUGCCAUCAUUAAGUUGGGCACUCUAAGUUGACUGCCGGUGACAAACCGGAGGAAGGUGGGGAUGACGUCAAAUCAUCAUGCCCCUUAUGAUUUGGGCUACACACGUGCUACAAUGGACAAUACAAAGGGCAGCGAAACCG